GAUGAACGCUGGCGGCGUGCCUAAUACAUGCAAGUCGAGCGAACAGACGAGGAGCUUGCUCCUCUGACGUUAGCGGCGGACGGGUGAGUAACACGUGGAUAACCUACCUAUAAUACUGGGAUAACUUCGGGAAACCGGAGCUAAUACCGGAUAAUAUAUUGAACCGCAUGGUUCAAUAGUGAAAGACGGUUUUGCUGUCACUUAUAGAUGGAUCCGCGCCGCAUUAGCUAGUUGGUAAGGUAACGGCUUACCAAGGCAACGAUGCGUAGCCGACCUGAGAGGGUGAUAGGCCACACUGGAACUGAGACACGGUCCAGACUCCUACGGGAGGCAGCAGUAGGGAAUGUUCCGCAAUGGGCGAAAGCCUGACGGAGCAACGCCGCGUGAGUGAUGAAGGUCUUGGGAUCGUAAAACUCUGUUAUUAGGGAAGAACAAAUGUGUAAGUAACUAUGCACGUCUUGACGGUAACUAAUCAGAAAGCCACGGCUAACUACGUG
RNAcentral lists this ribosomal RNA (497 nucleotides) under uncultured bacterium. Its description in RNAcentral is "partial 16S ribosomal RNA". It matches the Rfam family "Bacterial small subunit ribosomal RNA", at positions 28 to 507 of the family's 1533-position model. The record is from RNAcentral.